GCUCGCUGUUCCUGCUCCUGACUCUGUGGAGGAAGAGGAGGAGGAGGAAGAGGCCUUGGGUUCACGCGAGGACGCCGCCUGCAGCCCAGAUGUGGCCCCGGUCCGGCGCCAAGCUCGCUCACCCGACGCCACCCCCGUCCCGCCACCCACGCCCUCUGGAGAGGCGGAGACAGGAGAAGAGCUGAAGACGGAGCUCGCCCCCGCCCCCAGCCCC
Long non-coding RNA from Anguilla anguilla (European eel), 214 nucleotides. RefSeq lists it as uncharacterized. The record is from RefSeq and is a predicted model, not a curated record. The transcript has 3 exons. NCBI's taxonomy places the organism in Eukaryota, Metazoa, Chordata, Actinopteri, Anguilliformes, Anguillidae.